GUCCAGCUGAGGCCCUCUUGGACAACACUUCCUCUCCUGCCCAUGGUGGGAGGUUGGGAAGGACAUUCCCCCAUUUCCAUUUGCUCUGCCAUUCAAAACCUUGUGAGGGCCCUCAGGGAAGAAUCCCUUUGCAGGUCAUAAACUGACCUGCAGAAUUAUGGGAUCUUAACUGUGGGGAGAGACCUAGAAGACCGGCUAGUGACCAGAUUCUCAUCUAACUCCUUUUUUUUUGCAGAUGAGGAAACUGAGGCCCCACGUGGUGAAGACAAUUUUUACCCGAAUCCACCCACAACAAGAGACCAUUUGGAUAAUGUACAUUAUGGGAAGAGAACAGAGUCUCAGUGAAGAUCAUGUUUCCCCAGCAACACAGGUGCCAGGAGUAGCUGGCUCUGGUCCCAGCCCAGACUCAGAAAUCCUGAGCCACCAGACCAUUUCUAGAUUAACAAUGACCCACUGGAAACCAGUGUCAGCAUAACAACAGUUACGAGAGCUAAACCUACAAAAUAGGUUUUCUUUGAUGGCAGUUCUGCUCUAAAGAUGGAUAAGGAAGGAGGUUCCAAGAUGGCCGAAUAGGAACAGCUCCAGUCUACAGCUCCCAGCAUGAGCAACGCAGAAGACAGGGGAUUUCUGCAUUUCCAAUUGAGAACACAGGAGCUAUGUGGAGAGUUGAUGGAGGGACAUUCCAGGCAGAGAGAACAGCAAACACAAAGGCCUUGAAGGGAGCGGUGGCUUACAUCUGCAAUCCCACCACUUUGGGAGGCUGAGGCAGGUGGAUUGCUUGAUCUCAGGAGUUCGAGACCAGCCUGGGCAAUGUGGUGAAACCCAGUCUCUACCAAAAAAUACAAAAAUUAGCCGGGCAUGGUGAGCAUGCCUCUGGUCCCAGCUACCCAGGAGGCUGAGGUGGGAGAAUCACUUGAGCCUAGAAGGUCAAGGCUGCAGUGAGCCGUGAUUGAGCCACUGCAUUCCAGCCUGGGUGAUAGGGCUCAACACCACAUGGAAGCUGCCAAGGCUUGGGGCUCGCACCAUCUGAAGACAUGGUCUGAACUCUACGUUGGCCCUUUCAGCCAUGGCUGGAGCAGCUGGAACGCAGGGCAUCAAGUCUCUUGGCUGCACACAGCUCAGGGAAGCUGGACCUGGCCCAUGAAACCACUUUUUCUUCCUAUGCCUCCAGACCUGUGAUGGGAGGAGCUGCCAUGAAGACCUCUGACAUGCCCUAGAAACAUUUUCCCCAUUGUCUUAGGGAUUAACAUUCUGUGCCUUGUUGCUUAAGUAAAUUUCUGCCUCAUUGUCAGGCUGCAAA
Molecule: long non-coding RNA, 1300 nt
Filed under: Homo sapiens (human)
Lineage: Eukaryota; Metazoa; Chordata; Mammalia; Primates; Hominidae
Description: HSALNT0347439
Source: RNAcentral